CGCCCGGUGGUGAAACAGGAUCAUGUCUCUCCUACAAAGAGAUGUUGGGGGUGCAAUUCCCUCCCGGGCGACCA
RNAcentral lists this transfer RNA (74 nucleotides) under Verrucomicrobiota bacterium. RNAcentral's name for it is "Verrucomicrobia bacterium tRNA-Val". It matches the Rfam family "tRNA". From Rfam's summary of the family: Transfer RNA (tRNA) molecules are approximately 80 nucleotides in length. Their secondary structure includes four short double-helical elements and three loops (D, anti-codon, and T loops). Lineage: Bacteria; Pseudomonadati; Verrucomicrobiota. The record is from RNAcentral. RNAcentral also lists the same sequence under 1 other name.